GAUGAACGCUGGCGGCGUGCCUAAUACAUGCAAGUCGAGCGAACAGACGAGGAGCUUGCUCCUCUGACGUUAGCGGCGGACGGGUGAGUAACACGUGGAUAACCUACCUAUAAGACUGGGAUAACUUCGGGAAACCGGAGCUAAUACCGGAUAAUAUAUUGAACCGCAUGGUUCAAUAGUGAAAGACGGUUUUGCUGUCACUUAUAGAUGGAUCCGCGCCGCAUUAGCUAGUUGGUAAGGUAACGGCUUACCAAGGCAACGAUGCGUAGCCGACCUGAGAGGGUGAUCGGCCACGCUGGAACUGAGACACGGUCCAGACUCCUACGGUAGGCAGCAGUAGGGAAUCUUCCGCAAUGGGCGAAAGCCUGACGGAGCAACGCCGCGUGAGUGAUGAAGAUCUUCGGAUCGUAAAACUCUGUUAUUAGGGAAGAACAAAUGUGUAAGUAACUAUGCACGUCUUGACGGUACCUAAUCAGAAAGCCACGGCUAACUACGUG
This 497-nucleotide ribosomal RNA is filed under the name uncultured bacterium. Its description in RNAcentral is "partial 16S ribosomal RNA". It matches the Rfam family "Bacterial small subunit ribosomal RNA", at positions 28 to 507 of the family's 1533-position model. The record is from RNAcentral.